This 31-nucleotide non-coding RNA is filed under the name Mus musculus (house mouse). Lineage: Eukaryota; Metazoa; Chordata; Mammalia; Rodentia; Muridae. The record is from RNAcentral.
UCCUAGAAGGGACAACAGUGCACAUGCUGGU